GUUUCCCUCCACCCCCCAGGUCCUCUUUCAACUCAAGAGCUCAGUCCCGUGUGUCUCAUGGAGGCGUCUCUAACCAGGGAAUGGUCUAGGCCAAAAAAAAAAAAAAAGAAAAGCAGAAGAAGAAGAAAGAAGAAGAGGAAGAGGAGGAGGAGGAAGAAGAAGUAGAAGAAGAGGAAGAAAUGGGCCAAUUUUGUUGAAUUCUGUCUAGUGUGAAAACUUCAGCUGUCUCCUGAAUGAAAGUCAUCAUUCUGCAUUUAAUCAAUAUCCAGAAAAUGAUAUUCCAUGUGAAGUGCGGCAUUUUGUUUUGUGUUUACUUGGGAUUGGAACCAGCUGAUUGACUGAAC
This 344-nucleotide long non-coding RNA is filed under the name Pan troglodytes (chimpanzee). Its description in RNAcentral is "long non-coding RNA NONPTRT006866". The record is from RNAcentral. Lineage: Eukaryota; Metazoa; Chordata; Mammalia; Primates; Hominidae.